ACAGCGGAGGAUUUUCCUAGAAUGCAGGUUACUCUUUGAGAAUUUAACAAUAGCAGGAGGAUAAGAAGAUAAAUGACCUGGGAAAAUCAUGGGAGAGAAAAUGUCAGAUUCAGCAGCUGCAGCUUUGUAAGUCCUAUAGGCAGAAAAAUUGAUCUGAAGACAUCAACGCACAAAUCUUACCAUGAAUGAAAAGGGAAAUCUUCAAGCAGUUUAAUGUAGUUAGACAAAGACAUUAUUCUCCAUAGACUUUGCACAAGGAGUGGGGAGAGGUAAAAGUCUGCUAUAUUAUGUUUCUCUGUUAGUCAGUCAUUGGAUGAUCGUCUUUCUUCUGUUUACCAUACAGUGACCUGUUUCCUCUCUUCUGUAUGCUAUAUGUGCUUCGAGUGACAUACUUCCCAUGGAAAACAAAUUAAGGAAAUUUCUUUGUGAGUAAAUCAGACUGUUGA
Molecule: long non-coding RNA, 446 nt
Filed under: Anser brachyrhynchus (Pink-footed goose)
Lineage: Eukaryota; Metazoa; Chordata; Aves; Anseriformes; Anatidae
Description: lncRNA (ENSABRG00000010111.1)
Source: RNAcentral